This 460-nucleotide ribosomal RNA is filed under the name uncultured bacterium. Its description in RNAcentral is "partial 16S ribosomal RNA". It matches the Rfam family "Bacterial small subunit ribosomal RNA", at positions 338 to 795 of the family's 1533-position model. The record is from RNAcentral.
CCUACGGGUGGCAGCAGUGAGGAAUAUUGGUCAAUGGACGAGAGUCUGAACCAGCCAAGUAGCGUGAAGGAUGACUGCCCUAUGGGUUGUAAACUUCUUUUAUAUGGGAAUAAAAUAGGGUAUGCAUACCCCCUUGCAUGUACCAUAUGAAUAAGGAUCGGCUAACUCCGUGCCAGCAGCCGCGGUAAUACGGAGGAUCCGAGCGUUAUCCGGAUUUAUUGGGUUUAAAGGGAGCGUAGGUGGUUUGUUAAGUCAGUUGUGAAAGUUUGCGGCUCAACCGUAAAAUUGCAGUUGAAACUGGCAUUCUUGAGUACAGUAGAGGUAGGCGGAAUUCGUGGUGUAGCGGUGAAAUGCUUAGAUAUCACGAAGAACUCCGAUUGCGAAGGCAGCUUACUGGACUGCAACUGACGCUGAUGCUCGAAAGUGUGGGUAUCAAACAGGAUUAGAUACCCGGGUAGUC